GUGGGGAAUUUUGGACAAUGGGCGAAAGCCUGAUCCAGCCAUGCCGCUUGCAGGAUGAAGGCCUUCGGGUUGUAAACUGCUUUUGUACGGAACGAAAAGACUCCUUCUAAUAAAGGGGGUCCAUGACGGUACCGUAAGAAUAAGCACCGGCUAACUACGUGCCAGCAGCCGCGGUCAUACGUAGGGUGCAAGCGUUAAUCGGAAUUACUGGGCCUAAAGCGUGCGCAGGCGGUUAUAUAAGACAGAUGUGAAAGCCCGGGGCUCAACCUGGGAACUGGAUUUGGGACUGUAUAGCUAGAGUACGGUAGAGGGGGAUGGAAUUCCGCGUGUAGCAGUGAAAUGCGUAGAUAUGCGGAGGAACAACGAUGGCGAAGGCAAUCCCCUGGACCUGUACUGACGCUCAUGCACGAAAGCGUGGGGAGCAAACAGGAUUAGAUACCCUGGUAGUCC
RNAcentral lists this ribosomal RNA (450 nucleotides) under uncultured bacterium. RNAcentral describes it as "partial 16S ribosomal RNA". It matches the Rfam family "Bacterial small subunit ribosomal RNA", at positions 354 to 796 of the family's 1533-position model. The record is from RNAcentral.